Molecule: long non-coding RNA, 799 nt
Organism: Artibeus jamaicensis (Jamaican fruit-eating bat)
Lineage: Eukaryota; Metazoa; Chordata; Mammalia; Chiroptera; Phyllostomidae
Exons: 4
Source: RefSeq, a predicted model, not a curated record
CACAGACCUUUGGCCCCAGCUCUGAGACUGAUUCAGAUAGAAGACGACCAGGGAAGGGACGCAGGGUAUCAGACCCACUGAAUUCGGAUGACUUGAAGCCCCUGCCCACUUUGAACUCCAGUGAUCCCAGGUCCCUUCAGAUCGCAGGCCACGCGGACCUGGAAGCCACCCACCCCAGUCAUCAGCGGACACUGUCCAGAUGAACACUUCUCCUGUGCCCCUGCCUGAGGCCAGCAAGGGCGAGCAGGUCCAACUGUGUCCAGCAGGGUGUCCUCCACCCAGUGUUCUUGGACCUCACAGGCCUCUUUCCCCAGCCCUGGGGAAAGACGGCUGGGUCCCCAGGCUGGGGAGACAACAGCCUAGCCUGCUUCUGCCCGUGAGCUGCGUGAGCUGCCACCAACCAGUGAAAAUGGAUGUGAGCGGCAGUGGUGACUGGUCAGUAGACUUCCUGCACUCUGCUGGUUGAUGUCGUAUCAGCAAAAAUGGACUGUUUCAGUCUUGCCUGGCGCGUCUGUGUCUCUCUGACAAUGAGAACCUGCCUGGAUCUCCAACCCAGACCUCCCGUCCCGGUCUCCUUCCCGCCAGUUACCUCCCCGCACCCGCCACCGCCCACCAAAGCUCUGUACUCCUAGUCAACGGGGCGCCCCCUGCUCCUCCCCGCCUCCUGGCAGCGGAACCCCAGUGCCGAGGAACGGCGCCAGGCCGGACGGGCUGAGCCAAGUGGUCCUCCCGGAAGUGCGCCUCCCCGCGGGGGCUCUCCAGCCCCACGGCACGGGGCCGCCGCGGACCCACCUGCCCC